Molecule: ribosomal RNA, 777 nt
Filed under: uncultured Neocallimastigales
Lineage: Eukaryota; Fungi; Neocallimastigomycota; Neocallimastigomycetes; Neocallimastigales
Description: partial large subunit ribosomal RNA
Rfam family: Eukaryotic large subunit ribosomal RNA
Source: RNAcentral
GUACACGCUGUGACUAGCAUAUCAAUAAGCGGAGGAAAAGAAACUAACAAGGAUUCCCUUAGUAACGGCGAGUGAAGCGGGAAGAGCUCAAAUUUGAAAUCUUCAAGGUUUUACCUUGACGAAUUGUAGUUUAAAGAAGUGUUUUCUGCUGAAGUUUUGGUAAAAGUUCUUUGGAAUAGGACAUCAUAGAGGGUGAGAAUCCCGUAUUUGACCAUUAUUUUCAGCUUUGUGAUACACUUUCAAAGAGUCGGAUUGUUUGGGAAUGCAGUCCAAAAUAGGGUGGUAAAUUUCAUCUAAAGCUAAAUAUUGGCGAGAGACCGAUAGCGAACAAGUACCGUGAGGGAAAGAUGAAAAGAACUUUGAAAAGAGAGUUAAACAGUACGUGAAAUUGUCAAAAGGGAAGCGUUUGACACCAGUGUUGUUUUCUCGAAAAUCAAUUAAAAAUGGCUCGAUUUUGUAUUGCUGAGACCUUAAAAGCUCACUGUACAUUUUUCGUGUCUUUUUUAAUGCACUUUUCGUUUCAACAAGUCAACAUCAGUUUCUUUUGUUGUAAAAGGGUCAUUGGAAGGUGGCUUUCUUUUCGGAGAAAGUGUUUAUAGCCUUUGGCCUCUGCAAUCGGAGAGACUGAGGUCUGCAGCGUAGACUCUUCGGGGUUAGAUACAUUUGUGCUAAGUUAUAGCUUUUUAUAGACAACUUGUUGACUAUAAUUAGUCUUGUAGCUUACUCGCUUAUGCUAUAUUUACCUACGCUUAGGAUGUUGAGUAGCGACAUACGCAC